Molecule: long non-coding RNA, 556 nt
Organism: Pan paniscus (pygmy chimpanzee)
Lineage: Eukaryota; Metazoa; Chordata; Mammalia; Primates; Hominidae
Source: Ensembl
ACUGGACCAGCUGCUUGCUGUCCUGCGUAUUUGGGAGACUCCCUUUAUGGAACUGUACACAGACCAAAGUGGGUCUCUCCCAGGCAUCACCUGCAUCCCUGUGUUUCCCAAGGUCUUCAGACAGACCUUGCCAACUCCCGGGCAACUUUAGAAAGCGCUGUCCUUCUCAGGUUGCCUCAAAGAAGCAUGAAAUCCCUGGGAACUUCUUGUGCCUUUUGAACAAAUCAGCUCGAUGAAGGGAGAUGACUCAGUCUCCUUUGCCCCCGAAAGCAAGAGCCAACUCUGGCUACCAGCAGUCUUGGCUUCACAAAAGAACAAUUUACCCUGGUUCCCUCCCAGACUCCAGUCAGUCUCCCUGCAGCUUCAAGUGGCAUCAAAGAGGGUCACAUGGACAAGACUGGGAAGUAUGCAUCACACACCAUCCCCCAAUCUGAGAUGGAACUGCAAGUGUGAGGAGGCUGGUGGCUCUGCUCAGGGUAUGCCUGCACCUGCAUCACCGACACAGAAGAGUGAAUGCUGCACCUGGGGGCAAAAGCUGGAAGCAAAAUCCCACUGA